Molecule: long non-coding RNA, 1130 nt
Organism: Rosa chinensis
Lineage: Eukaryota; Viridiplantae; Streptophyta; Magnoliopsida; Rosales; Rosaceae
Exons: 3
Source: RefSeq, a predicted model, not a curated record
GGAUCGGACGGUUUCGGUCUCGGUUUGUCUGUUUGGAGUUCCCAGGCCUUGCCUGAAACAUUCUAGCUUCUCUCCCCUCAAAUCCAAAAAUCCCCACAUCAUAGCCUUCGACAAAAACCCACUCUCCGACUCUUUCUUCCUUUCCUUUCCCGUCUUUUUCUUCGUCCCCAUCCUCUCUUCUUCUUUGUUUUUCCUUUCUUUCUUUUUUUUGUCUCUUCUUCUCUCUGCUUCUUUUCUUUCUCCCGUCACCCCUCAUCUCCUUUAGUCGGCCCCCUAAUCGAAGCCUUCAACAGUACCCCAUUUCAAAAUUCGUAAGCACCAUUCUUUCACGUACUAUCAUUCAUUAACUAGUAUACAUUUGGCCCCGUUUGUUUUCCCUCAUGAAAGGAGUGGAUAGGAAAAAAUAUAUCCCAUCAGAUCACUUGUGAUGUUUGGAGCCCAAGAUAUGUUAGCAUCGGAAAUUUUGUAUCCAAUCAGACAUGGAUAAAAGAAAUCCUGUUGAAAUGGUGUGAAAGAUUAAAUCCUGCUACUUAUUUCUUCGUCUUUCAGCCUCGUCAACAACGUAGAACUUCUCCCUUCCUCUGCGACCUUCACCUUCCUAUGCUCCGUCACAAUGCUCUGGCCCCUCUGCGGCCAUUUGACCUCCUGUUGCUGUCUCUCAGAGUUUGGUUAUAUGGCUUCAAGAUUACAUGAUGAAUUAGCUUCUCUGAAGCGGACAUGCAAUUGGAAAAGCUGCCAAAGUGCCUCCUACAAUAGAGGAAGUUAAUCAAGAGCUUAACAACCAAGAGCUUGCUGAUGUAUUUGAUUCCAAGGUAGAACCAGACCAGAAAUCUACUGCUAUAUCUGAAGAUAAACUUUUCAACUACAAAUUGAAUCAAAGCCUUUAAACUUCUUAUGGCUGAUUCUGCUUAGCUUUUGGCUCUAGAUAAAGCGGAAGGAAAGAUGGAGUUCUUCAUACAGCUUAUUUGUAAGUCGUACGGACUCUGAUUUUGGGAGUAGUUAAAACUUUUAGUUAUUGGCAUAUUCAAACUUAGUAAUUUGUAUUUGUUGUACCAAUGGAUCACAGUAUUUGUAAGAUAUAGUUUGUUGCUUAUAGAUCUUAUGAAAUUUGGAGAUUCACCAUCUUUUUU